Long non-coding RNA from Cotesia glomerata, 462 nucleotides. RefSeq lists it as uncharacterized. The transcript has 3 exons. The record is from RefSeq and is a predicted model, not a curated record. NCBI's taxonomy places the organism in Eukaryota, Metazoa, Arthropoda, Insecta, Hymenoptera, Braconidae.
AGCACAGCAAAAGUAUCAACGACUAUGAUGAAAAAAUAAAAUGCGUCCGUAUUGACUGGAGCCAACCUAAGGGAUCAAACUUCACAUUGAACGUUGACGCUAUUUCGACCAUAACCAACGCUCUUUCGUCAAUUGUCAUAGAAGGUAGGGAUGGCAGUCCUACAUUUAGAAACCACGUGCCGGUUUUGGGAGAAGUUGACGUCGACGUUUAUAUCCUCGGUCAUAAUUACGACAAAUGGGCCGUUUUGUAUUAUUGUGAUAAAACAGAAAACUCUUACAUUGAGCAAGCUUUGGUAUUUACAAGACAAAAAUUCCCGGAUGAAAGAGGACUUAAUCAAUUCAUAGAUGAAUCCUACAGUUAUUGGAGUCUACGAAGGCCACAAUUUAGCCGAGUUAUCCAAAAUUGUCGGAAUUAAUUUCUAAAAAAAAAUUGUCAAUUUUAAACUCAAUAAAAAAAUGACA